GCAAGUCGAACGGCAGCACGGGAUCUUGCUCCUUGUGGCGAGUGGCGAACGGGUGCGUAAUGUAUCGGAACGUACCGUGUAAUGGGGGAUAACGCUUCGAAAGAGGUGCUAAUACCGCAUACGCCCUGAGGGGUAAGCGGGGGAUCUUCGGACCUAGCGUUAUACGAGCGGAUGAUACCGGAUUAGCUAGUUGGUGGGGUAAAGGCCCACCAAGGCGACGAUCCGUAGCUGGUCUGAGAGGACGACC
RNAcentral lists this ribosomal RNA (247 nucleotides) under uncultured bacterium. RNAcentral's name for it is "partial 16S ribosomal RNA". It matches the Rfam family "Bacterial small subunit ribosomal RNA", at positions 57 to 305 of the family's 1533-position model. The record is from RNAcentral.